UGAACUCAAAUUUGUGUGGAUUUGGAAUAGCUUCCCUUCGUUUGCCGCUAGGGGUGCUGUUCCAACUCCGUAAAAUUUGAGUUC
RNAcentral lists this microRNA precursor (84 nucleotides) under Bombyx mori (domestic silkworm). RNAcentral describes it as "mir-2807 microRNA precursor family". It matches the Rfam family "mir-2807 microRNA precursor family". The record is from Rfam by way of RNAcentral. Lineage: Eukaryota; Metazoa; Arthropoda; Insecta; Lepidoptera; Bombycidae.